Molecule: transfer RNA, 81 nt
Organism: Archaeoglobus profundus DSM 5631
Lineage: Archaea; Methanobacteriati; Methanobacteriota; Archaeoglobi; Archaeoglobales; Archaeoglobaceae
Rfam family: tRNA
About the family: Transfer RNA (tRNA) molecules are approximately 80 nucleotides in length.
Source: Rfam
GCCGGGGUUGCCGAGUGGUAAGGCGGCGGCCUGCUAAGCCGCUCCCCUCUGGGGUCGUGGGUUCGAAUCCCACCCCCGGCG